RNAcentral lists this ribosomal RNA (404 nucleotides) under uncultured bacterium. Its description in RNAcentral is "bacterial SSU rRNA". It matches the Rfam family "Bacterial small subunit ribosomal RNA", at positions 355 to 775 of the family's 1533-position model. The record is from RNAcentral.
UAGGGAAUAUUGCUUAAUGGGCGAAAGCCUGAAGCAGCAACGCCGCGUGAACGAAGAAGGCCUUCGGGUCGUAAAGUUCUUUUAUAUGGGAUGAGGAAGGACAGUACCAUAUGAAUAAGUCUCGGCUAACUACGUGCCAGCAGCCGCGGUAAAACGUAGGAGACGAGCGUUAUCCGGAUUUACUGGGCGUAAAGAGCGUGUAGGAGGCAAUACAAGUUGGAUGUGAAAGCUCCCGGCUUAACUGGGAGAGGUCGUUCAAGACUGUAUAGCUAGAGGAAGGCAGAGGUAGAUGGAACUCCGGGAGUAGUGGUGAAAUGCGUAGAUAUCCGGAAGAACACCAGAGGCGAAAGCGAUCUACUGGGCCUUUACUGACACUGAGACGCGAAAGCCAGGGUAGCAAACGG